CGGUGUAUAGCUCAGUUUGGUAGAGCACUUGGUUUGGGACCAAGGGGUCAGACGUUCAAGUCGUCUUACACCGACCA
RNAcentral lists this transfer RNA (77 nucleotides) under Sphingobium sp. Its description in RNAcentral is "tRNA-Pro". It matches the Rfam family "tRNA". Rfam says of the family: Transfer RNA (tRNA) molecules are approximately 80 nucleotides in length. The record is from RNAcentral. Lineage: Bacteria; Pseudomonadati; Pseudomonadota; Alphaproteobacteria; Sphingomonadales; Sphingobiaceae.